UACCUGGUUGAUCCUGCCAGUAGUCAUAUGCUUGUCUCAAAGAUUAAGCCAUGCAUGUCUAAGUAUAAACAAUUCUAUACUGUGAACUGCGAAUGGCUCAUUAAAUCAGUUAUAGUUUAUUUGAUAGUACCAUUACUACUUGGAUAACCGUGGUAAUUCUAGAGCUAAUACAUGCGUAAAAACCCGACUUCUGGAAGGGUUGUAUUUAUUAGAUAAAAAACCAACCUGGGCAACCAGUUUUUUGGUGAUUCAUAAUAACUUUUC
RNAcentral lists this ribosomal RNA (264 nucleotides) under Orpinomyces sp. OUS1. RNAcentral describes it as "partial 18S ribosomal RNA". It matches the Rfam family "Eukaryotic small subunit ribosomal RNA", at positions 1 to 265 of the family's 1831-position model. Lineage: Eukaryota; Fungi; Neocallimastigomycota; Neocallimastigomycetes; Neocallimastigales; Neocallimastigaceae. The record is from RNAcentral.